AAAAAAAACCUCAGUCUCAGUUUGCCCUUGUCUCCUUAUCUCCCCCGACGGUGCCUCUCCAUUAUGUCGCCUCUUAUUUCCUCUGCCAGCAGAGUUUACGCUAUCUCUAGUAUUCUCAUUGUCCAUAUCUGUAACCUCUUUUUUCUUCAUUCUUCUUUUCCCUUAAAGAACGCCUCUCUUCUCUUUUUUUUUUUUGACCAAAAUCCUAACCCAAAAUCCAGGCAACGGUCGAACCUUUUAAGCCGCCGUCGAUCACCUAAAAAGGCUCAAUCAUCGAAAAAGGCUGUCGCCUAAUCCAAGAUUUUUCUGUGACUUAGGCCUUGUCAAACAGAAUAGAAUAAACCUAAAGCCUAAAAGAAUUAAAUCAUCGCAUCUUUCACUGCCACAGUUACCGUUUACUAGCCUUGGCCCUCCCUGACUCUUCUUCAUCAUUCCUUUCCCAGAGUCCACAUGGAAACUUUAGAGGAAAAUAUCCAAUAAUCAUGUUCACUCUAUUUAGGAAUUGUAGGGGUUGUGGUCUUUAGCUGGGUAUGGAAAUAACAACGAUUCUAUGGUCUUUAGCUGGAUAUGGAAAUAACAAUGAUUCUAUGUUAAGGAAUAAAUAAAGACCGUUGUUCUCAAGAUUGAUAUGUCAUGCCAAGGCAGUAGUGGAACUAUGAAGAGAGUUCUGGGAAAAAUGAGAGGUUGAUUUCCAUCCAAAUGCCGUCAACUUAGUUACAAGGAUAACAGGCUAUGCAAGAUUGAAGAUAUUUACUGAUCUUUUUACCUUUUCCACAUUUGGUCCUGUUCAAUAUGCUACCUCUUGACCCUAUGAUCACCCGGAAUCUUUUCAUAAUGGUUGCAUAUAAGUUUUUUGAGCAUUUUUAUUUAUUUUCCAUGUUUGUAUUUAAUUUUCAUAAGCCAAUUUUAUUUAAAUGAAUGUUUGUCUUGGAUUCAUUCUUUUUUUGGAUAGUAGUUUGUAUUUUGUUAUGCUAUUCUUCUAACAUUACUUUUUAAAUUUCAUGUC
This is a long non-coding RNA of Durio zibethinus, 1006 nucleotides long. RefSeq lists it as uncharacterized. The record is from RefSeq and is a predicted model, not a curated record. Lineage: Eukaryota; Viridiplantae; Streptophyta; Magnoliopsida; Malvales; Malvaceae.